RNAcentral lists this ribosomal RNA (520 nucleotides) under Cladosporium perangustum. RNAcentral describes it as "eukaryotic LSU rRNA". The stretch from base 172 to 325 matches the Rfam family "5.8S ribosomal RNA". The record is from RNAcentral. Lineage: Eukaryota; Fungi; Ascomycota; Dothideomycetes; Cladosporiales; Cladosporiaceae.
UGCGGAGGGAUCAUUACAAGUGACCCCGGUUUACCACCGGGAUGUUCAUAACCCUUUGUUGUCCGACUCUGUUGCCUCCGGGGCGACCCUGCCUUCGGGCGGGGGCUCCGGGUGGACACUUCAAACUCUUGCGUAACUUUGCAGUCUGAGUAAACUUAAUUAAUAAAUUAAAACUUUUAACAACGGAUCUCUUGGUUCUGGCAUCGAUGAAGAACGCAGCGAAAUGCGAUAAGUAAUGUGAAUUGCAGAAUUCAGUGAAUCAUCGAAUCUUUGAACGCACAUUGCGCCCCCUGGUAUUCCGGGGGGCAUGCCUGUUCGAGCGUCAUUUCACCACUCAAGCCUCGCUUGGUAUUGGGCAACGCGGUCCGCCGCGUGCCUCAAAUCGACCGGCUGGGUCUUCUGUCCCCUAAGCGUUGUGGAAACUAUUCGCUAAAGGGUGUUCGGGAGGCUACGCCGUAAAACAACCCCAUUUCUAAGGUUGACCUCGGAUCAGGUAGGGAUACCCGCUGAACUUAAGCAU